Molecule: non-coding RNA, 1236 nt
Organism: Xyrichtys novacula (pearly razorfish)
Lineage: Eukaryota; Metazoa; Chordata; Actinopteri; Labriformes; Labridae
Source: the annotation of a GenBank genome assembly
GUCGCUUUAUUUCAAGAGGGGGUGCAUCUGCAAAGAGUUUCUUCUCGUCAGGUUUAAUUUAUAACCUGAUUUCCAAACAUCCUGAUCACCAUUCAGAAUAUGAGAUGAACAUGAACGUGGCACGGAACAGGAAAAUCCCUCUGAGCAUGCCCACUCUGUCUUGCGGCGGAUGUUGCAGCCGAGUACACAAACAGAUGCUGGAGGAAGUUUCACUUCUAACUUUUAUCGAUAGAUUUAACAGAAAUCAACAUUGCAGACUCAUGCUCAGCUCCCGCUCUCUGCCUCUUCAAAGUAAACAUAGUGGCCCUCAUUUAUCAAGCUUGCGUACGGCAGAAAACUUGCGUACACCUUGCGUAUGACAAUUUUGACGUGAGGAUCGGCAUUUAUCAAUCUGCACGUGAACGUAUGCUACAACCAAAUCUCACGACAGGUCUGACAUCGUGUAUGCAAAUUUGAGUCCGUGUGGAUCUGCGGUGCAGCAAAUGUCUGUCUUGAAAUAAUUGAUAAACAAACCUAAAUAAAAUAAAAUAAAAUAAAAUAAAUUUGUUUUGUCCUUGGUGAAUAGGCCUAUCCGAUAACUCUGCCCAGAAACAAUGCCACAGAGCAGGGGCCUCAUGUAUCAAAGCUUGCAGCGCAAGAAAACCUUGCGUACGCCAAAAUCGGCGCACACGUCCAGAUUUAUCAUCGCGAAACGAGCGUCGGUUCCAGCGCUAAUCAACGCAAAGUCAGGAGGUGGUGUAGAAAUUGGCGUUGAGCUGGAUAUUUGCGUUGACUGUGAUUCGCACUUUGGCAACGCUGUGUGGCGGUGUUUGGUGACUCACUAUGUGACAAGCGUGCACCACAUCCCCGUGGCCGGGCAGCAUGUCGCCCCACAUGACGAACCAGCAGCAGACGGAGGGAUGCGAGCUGAUCCCUGCCGGGCCGCCGUCCUCGCGCGGGAGAAUCUCAUCGCCACAGUGUGAAUGGGUAAGAAGUGAAUACACAGUUCAAUGAGCCAAAUUAAUUUAUUUUCUCCACCAGACGCUCGAGGAAAUUUACGAGCCGGUCCAGCCGCUCAUUGAUCCCCGCGAUCCCCCUGAUGAUUUCUUCCUGCGAUUGCAGGACCCCCUCCGCGCGGACCCUUCCACUGCGUCCGGGUGGUCCAGCGGAAGCGCCGCGGCUGGUGGACGAUCCACCGCUUGUCGGCGCGCUGGUGCUGAUGCUGGUGCUGGGGCCGGGGGCCGGGGUGGCCCGAAU